This 288-nucleotide long non-coding RNA is filed under the name Nicotiana benthamiana. RNAcentral's name for it is "long non-coding RNA (NBEN_LNC005497)". The record is from RNAcentral. Lineage: Eukaryota; Viridiplantae; Streptophyta; Magnoliopsida; Solanales; Solanaceae.
CAUAAACAUAUUUCAAAUACUUCAAACAAAAUGAUUUUAACGUUUUCAUUUUAACCAAAAUGGUUUUUGAAGUAAGUUUCAAUUCUGGACAGCAUAAGAGAAUAAUCGAUUAUGGCAAAGUAUAUAAUCGAUUAUUCUGGGAAAUCCCAUUUAUUGGAAAUUUCCACAGAGUAAGAUAAUCGAUUAUACACUUGGACAUAAUCGAUUAUCUUAUAUCCGUUUCCUUCCCAAUGUUCCGUUUUAUGAACGUUGAGAAGAUAAUCGAUUAUGCAAAGUGAAUAAUCGNNN